RNAcentral lists this ribosomal RNA (326 nucleotides) under uncultured bacterium. Its description in RNAcentral is "bacterial SSU rRNA". It matches the Rfam family "Bacterial small subunit ribosomal RNA", at positions 147 to 489 of the family's 1533-position model. The record is from RNAcentral.
CGUUCUGAAAAGAACGCUAAUACCGCAUGACAUAUCGGAGCUGCAUGGCUCUGGUAUCAAAGGAGCAAUCCGCUGAAAGAUGGACUCGCGUCCGAUUAGCCAGUUGGCGGGGUAAAGGCCCACCAAAGCGACGAUCGGUAGCCGGGUUGAGAGACUGAACGGCCACAUUGGGACUGAGACACGGCCCAGACUCCUACGGGAGGCAGCAGUGGGGGAUAUUGCACAAUGGGCGAAAGCCUGAUGCAGCAAUGCCGCGUGAGGGAAGACGGUCUUCGGAUUGUAAACCUCUGUCCUUGGUGAAGAUAAUGACGGUAGCCAAGGAGGAA